UGGGGAAUCUUGGACAAUGGGCGCAAGCCUGAUCCAGCCAUGCCGCGUGAGCGAUGAAGGCCUUAGGGUUGUAAAGCUCUUUCACCGGUGAAGAUAAUGACGGUAGCCGGAGAAGAAGCCCCGGCUAACUCCGUGCCAGCAGCCGCGGUAAUACGGAGGGGGCUAGCGUUGUUCGGAAUUACUGGGCGUAAAGCGCGCGUAGGCGGACUGAUCAGUCAGGGGUGAAAUCCCGGGGCUCAACCCCGGAACUGCCUCCAAAACUAUUGGUCUAGAGUUCGAGAGAGGUGAGUGGAAUUCCAAGUGUAGAGGUGAAAUUCGUAGAUAUUUGGAGGAACACCAGUGGCGAAGGCGGCUCACUGGCUCGAUACUGACGCUGAGGUGCGAAAGUGUGGGGAGCAAACAGGAUUAGAUACCCUGGUAGUCCACACCGUAAACGAUGAAUGCCAGUCGUCGGGUAGCAUGCUAUUCGGUGACACACCUAACGGAUUAAGCAUUCCGCCU
Molecule: ribosomal RNA, 501 nt
Filed under: uncultured bacterium
Lineage: Bacteria
Description: bacterial SSU rRNA
Rfam family: Bacterial small subunit ribosomal RNA
Source: RNAcentral